This is a non-coding RNA of Acanthosepion pharaonis, 111 nucleotides long. NCBI's taxonomy places the organism in Eukaryota, Metazoa, Mollusca, Cephalopoda, Sepiida, Sepiidae. The record is from the annotation of a GenBank genome assembly.
UACAGCCAUAUCAUGUUGAAACACUGUUUUCUAUAAAUCACUGAAGUUAAGCAACAUUCAGCCUGGUUAGUACCUAGAUGGGUGACCACUUGGGAAUACCGGUGUUGUAAG